Long non-coding RNA from Brachypodium distachyon (stiff brome), 594 nucleotides. RefSeq lists it as uncharacterized. NCBI's taxonomy places the organism in Eukaryota, Viridiplantae, Streptophyta, Magnoliopsida, Poales, Poaceae. The record is from RefSeq and is a predicted model, not a curated record. The transcript has 2 exons.
GGGCAAGUUUGGCAUGGCUUGGCACAUGAUUGCUUGCUUGCUAGCUGCCUUUAGUUCUUGGACAUCCUGAUGCUUGAGUUAUGCCUGCUUGCUUGCUAUCUACCCUAAUUCUUAGACAUGCUGAUGGUUGACGUAUGCUUGCUUGCUAGCUACCUCAGUUCUUAGAUAUUCUGAUGGUUGAGGUAUGCUGUAUGCCUGCAGGCAAGGUAAGGUUAGGUCAGGCCUUGAGGUAAUUCGCUGCUAGAUUCCUUGUGUAGGUGUGAAGAAAUAUGUUUAUGUACAAGUACAUAUUUAAGUACGACCCUGUUGCUGUGAUGUAGUUUUCUUUCCGGAAAGUAGAUCAUAUAAUUACUGAGAUAUACUAGUAGAUCACAUAAAGCAUUAUAUAUAUUUUGUUGUCUAGAAUCUAACGAUUUACAUUCUGAUUUUAAACUUGUGCCUGUGGGAAAUGAAGGAGGCGUAAUUGUUUCAAGUCCAGCUAAAAAGUGAAAGGAGGAAGAUGUGGAAGGUGGAGUAAGCAGACGCACUUGGAGUACCCUAAAGGGGGAGAAAGCAUAUGCAAUCAAACCGGCUGAAGCAGGCACUCUUUGUAAG